GACGAACGCUGGCGGCGUGCCUAAUACAUGCAAGUAGAACGCUGAAGGAGGAGCUUGCUUCUCUGGAUGAGUUGCGAACGGGUGAGUAACGCGUAGGUAACCUGCCUGGUAGCGGGGGAUAACUAUUGGAAACGAUAGCUAAUACCGCAUAAGAGUAGAUGUCGCAUGACAUUUGCUUAAAAGGUGCAAUUGCCUCACUACCAGAUGGACCUGCGUUGUAUUAGCUAGUUGGUGAGGUAACGGCUCACCAAGGCAACGAUACAUAGCCGACCUGAGAGGGUGAUCGGCCACACUGGGACUGAGACACGGCCCAGACUCCUACGGGAGGCAGCAGUAGGGAAUCUUCGGCAAUGGACGGAAGUCUGACCGAGCAACGCCGCGUGAGUGAAGAAGGUUUUCGGAUCGUAAAGCUCUGUUGUAAGAGAAGAACGAGUGUGAGAGUGGAAAGUUCACACUGUGACGGUAUCUUACCAGAAAGAGACGGCUAACUACGUG
Molecule: ribosomal RNA, 495 nt
Filed under: uncultured bacterium
Lineage: Bacteria
Description: partial 16S ribosomal RNA
Rfam family: Bacterial small subunit ribosomal RNA
Source: RNAcentral